Pistacia vera is the source of this 763-nucleotide long non-coding RNA. RefSeq lists it as uncharacterized. The transcript is spliced from 3 exons. NCBI's taxonomy places the organism in Eukaryota, Viridiplantae, Streptophyta, Magnoliopsida, Sapindales, Anacardiaceae. The record is from RefSeq and is a predicted model, not a curated record.
UUGGCAUAAUAAAUUGUUAUUAGCGAUAUGGUAUCAUAUAAUUGGGGCAUCAAAGGUCCAUUCAAAACUUGAUUAAUUUUCUCGUAAACUGAGACCAUUUACAUUCACAUGCAAACGCUUGAAACGUGUUAAUCCUUUCACAUUCACCAGAAAACAGGUUUGCCUAAAUCAGUUUCGCGCUCUCUCUCAUUUUCCCACCAAAGCUGCAGAGAAAUUUCAUCUUCCCAGUUGGAGAUUCAGGUCUAGCUUUUAGUUUUUUAUUUUUCAGCUCCCAAGAGUUUGCAUCGCCUGAUUUAGAGACCACGCCCGUUGUUGCUAAAAUUGAUGUGGCACAAGCAACACCACCUGCUAAUUUUACAAUUGAUGUUGGAGAGUAUGAAGAUCAGAAUCUGGAGCCUUAAAAAGAGCCGGAUGAUGAGAAUGAUACGCCUCAAAAAGAUAGCGGAGAAGAAAAGUGUCAUAUUUUCACUGGGGAUUGGAAGGUCGCACUCUCAUGCAUUUAAUUUUAAUUUAAAUUGCUAUGUGGAGGUUUUUGUAAAGUACAAUAUUAUAUGCUUAUGAAUUACAAGAUUAUGCAUGCCACAUUUAACCUUAAAUUUGUAAAUUAUAGUGGAAAAUACAGAAUUAUUAUGCUAGAAGAAGUUUGAAAUUCAUAUGAAAAUAUGAGUUAUUACAUUCAGUAACUGGAAUGACAGAUAGAUGUGUAAUUUUGGUACAAGUCCUGUUAUUACUCACUGUUUACUGUACUGUAUAUAUUGAGGUC